GCGGAUGUGGCGAAAUUGGUAGACGCACCAGAUUUAGGUUCUGGCGCCGAGAGGCGUGGGGGUUCAAGUCCCUCCAUCCGCACCA
This 85-nucleotide transfer RNA is filed under the name Ponticaulis sp. RNAcentral describes it as "tRNA-Leu". It matches the Rfam family "tRNA". Rfam says of the family: Transfer RNA (tRNA) molecules are approximately 80 nucleotides in length. Their secondary structure includes four short double-helical elements and three loops (D, anti-codon, and T loops). Further hydrogen bonds mediate the characteristic L-shaped molecular structure. tRNAs have two regions of fundamental functional importance: the anti-codon, which is responsible for specific mRNA codon recognition, and the 3' end, to which the tRNAs corresponding amino acid is attached (by aminoacyl-tRNA synthetases). tRNAs cope with the degeneracy of the genetic code in two manners: having more than one tRNA (with a specific anti-codon) for a particular amino acid; and 'wobble' base-pairing, i.e. permitting non-standard base-pairing at the 3rd anti-codon position. Lineage: Bacteria; Pseudomonadati; Pseudomonadota; Alphaproteobacteria; Hyphomonadales; Hyphomonadaceae. The record is from RNAcentral.